Molecule: ribosomal RNA, 407 nt
Filed under: Verrucomicrobiota bacterium
Lineage: Bacteria; Pseudomonadati; Verrucomicrobiota
Description: Verrucomicrobia bacterium partial 16S ribosomal RNA
Rfam family: Bacterial small subunit ribosomal RNA
Source: RNAcentral
UGGGGAAUAUUGGACAAUGGAGGCAACUCUGAUCCAGCAAUUCUGUGUGUGUGAAGAAGGUUUUAGGACUGUAAAACACUUUUAGUAGGGAAGAAAGAAAUGACGGUACCUACAGAAGAAGCGACGGCUAAAUACGUGCCAGCAGCCGCGGUAAUACGUAUGUCGCGAGCGUUAUCCGGAAUUAUUGGGCUUAAAGGGUAUCUAGGCGGUUAAACAAGUUGAAGGUGAAAACCUGUGGCUCAACCAUAGGCUUGCCUACAAAACUGUAUAACUAGAGUACUGGAAAGGUGGGUGGAACUACACGAGUAGAGGUGAAAUUCGUAGAUAUGUGUAGGAAUGCCGAUGAUGAAGAUAACUCACUGGACAGCAACUGACGCUGAAGUGCGAAAGCUAGGGGAGCAAACAGG